GUCUAACCUGCCCACUGAGAAUUUUAAAGGCCGCAGUAUUUUAACUGUGCAAAGGUAGCAUAAUCAUUAGUCUUUUAAUUGAAGGCUGGUAUGAAUGGUUGAAUGAGAUAUUAACUGUUUCAAUAUAAUUUUUAGAAUUUUAUAUUUUAGUGAAAAAGCUAAAAUAUUUUUAAAAGACGAGAAGACCCUAUAAAUCUUUAUAAUUUUAAAUUUAUAGAUAUAUAGAUAAUUAAAUUUAUAGGUCAGGAAAUUAUUUUAUUGGGGUGAUAUUAAAAUUUUAUAAACUUUUAAUGUUUGGUUUACACUGAUUAGUGGGUUAAUGAUCCGUAAUUUAUGAUUAAAAAAUUAAGUUACUUUAGGGAUAACAGCGUAAUUUUUUUGGAGAGUUCUUAUUAAUAAAAAAGAUUGCGACCUCGAUGUUGGAUUAAGAUAUAAGUUUAGGUGUAGUGGCUUAAAUUU
RNAcentral lists this ribosomal RNA (459 nucleotides) under Phora holosericea. RNAcentral's name for it is "partial 16S ribosomal RNA". It matches the Rfam family "Bacterial large subunit ribosomal RNA", at positions 1852 to 2572 of the family's 2925-position model. The record is from RNAcentral. Lineage: Eukaryota; Metazoa; Arthropoda; Insecta; Diptera; Phoridae.